GAAUUUAAUAUAGAUUUAUUGAAAAAAUUAGUAUGUGAUUUUUUAAGUUUAUAUUUUAUUGGGAGGAUAGUUAAAUUAAUAAAACUUUAAAAAUAAAAAACCAUUGAUUUAUGAAGUAAAAUAAAAAGAAUGGCGUUAAGAAAGUUUAAAUAGAAUUAAUUACCUUAGGGAUAACAGCGUUAUAUUUUUAGAGAGAUCUUAUUAAUAAAAAUGUUUGC
RNAcentral lists this ribosomal RNA (218 nucleotides) under Pheidole longiseta. RNAcentral describes it as "partial large subunit ribosomal RNA". The record is from RNAcentral. Lineage: Eukaryota; Metazoa; Arthropoda; Insecta; Hymenoptera; Formicidae.